CCGAGCACGCCGCGUGAGCGAAGAAGGCCUUCGGGUUGUAAAGCUCAGUCACCCGGGAAGAGAGACCAAGGGAGGGAAUGCCCUUGGAGAGACGGUACCGGGAGAGGAAGCCCCGGCUAACUACGUGCCAGCAGCCGCGGUAAUACGUAGGGGGCAAGCGUUGUCCGGAAUCACUGGGCGUAAAGCGUGCGUAGGCGGUUUGUUAAGUCUGAAGUGAAAGGCCAUGGCUCAACCAUGGGAAUGCUUUGGAAACUGGCAGACUUGAGUACUGGAGAGGCAAGGGGAAUUCCACGUGUAGCGGUGAAAUGCGUAGAGAUGUGGAGGAAUACCAGUGGCGAAGGCGCCUUGCUGGACAGUGACUGACGCUGAGGCACGAAAGCGUGGGGAGCAAACAGGAUUAGAUACCCUGGUAGUCCACGCCGUAAACGAUGAGUGCUAGGUGUUGGAGGUUCAGACCUUCAGUGCCGAAGGAAACCCAAUAAGCACUCCGCCUGGGGAGUACGGUCGCAAGACUGAAACUCAAAGGAAUUGACGGGGGCCCGCACAAGCAGUGGAGCAUGUGGUUUAAUUCGAAGCAACGCGAAGAACCUUACCAGGGCUUGACAUCCCUCUGACCGGUACAGAGAUGUGCCUUCCCUUCGGGGCAGAGGAGACAGGUGGUGCAUGGUUGUCGUCAGCUCGUGUCGUGAGAUGUUGGGUUAAGUCCCGCAACGAGCGCAACCCUUGACCUGUGUUACCAGCACGUAAUGGUGGGGACUCACAGGUGACUGCCGGCGUAAGUCGGAGGAAGGUGGGGAUGACGUCAAAUCAUCAUGCCCUUUAUGUCCUGGGCGACACACGUGCUACAAUGGGCGGAACAACGGGAAGCGAGACCGCGAGGUG
Molecule: ribosomal RNA, 882 nt
Filed under: Paenalicyclobacillus ferrooxydans
Lineage: Bacteria; Bacillati; Bacillota; Bacilli; Caryophanales; Alicyclobacillaceae
Description: bacterial SSU rRNA
Rfam family: Bacterial small subunit ribosomal RNA
Source: RNAcentral